UUGAAACUGAGCUCAGCAAGAUCUGUGAUGGUAUCCUUAAGCUUCUGGAUUCCCACCUUGUCCCAUCUGCCACUGCUGCAGAGUCCAAGGUGUUCUACCUGAAAAUGAAGGGUGACUACCACAGGUAUUGAUUUCUGGUGUUUCAGGAAUUAGCAGUAGCUAACAGUUUACCUUUUUUGUGUUUCCUAAGGUUUAUUUUCUGGUUUUGAAUGUAUAGGUACCUUGCUGAGUUUAAGUCAGGAGCUGAGAGGAAGGAAGCAGCUGAGAACACUCUUGUGGCAUACAAGUCUGCCCAGGUUGGCCUCCGUGUACUUUUGCCAAUAUAUAUGGUGUAUAGCGGUGAUAUUUAGUUUGCUAUAUCAUUAUAUUUUUCUUGGAGUAGCUUUAUAAGUUCUGAUAUUUUUAUGUCAUUCCUACCAGUGAUUUUUUAUCCUCCAUGCUGUAUCUUCUUCACCGUAGGAAAAUACUUCCAGUCUUGAUUUAUUUUAUAAGUUCAAUUUUCAUUUAUGGGAUGCAUAUUUGCUCAUGUUUGAGACAUACGCUGCUAUUUAUGGCAUGUAUCAUGUGGCAACGUUGAGUUAUUUAUUGCAGCUUCAUGGAUUUUGAUGCAUAUUUAUCAGCAGAAACUGCACACGAUGACACUUGAUUGCUUUUUUA
This 657-nucleotide long non-coding RNA is filed under the name Oryza sativa (Asian cultivated rice). Its description in RNAcentral is "long non-coding RNA (OSAT_LNC000627)". The record is from RNAcentral. Lineage: Eukaryota; Viridiplantae; Streptophyta; Magnoliopsida; Poales; Poaceae.